UACGUAGGGGGCUAGCGUUGUCCGGAAUUACUGGGCGUAAAGCGCGUGUAGGCGGUUGUUCAAGUCGGGUUGUGAAAGCCUUGAGCUCAACUCAAGAAAUGCACUCGAUACUGGAUGACUUGAGGACCGGAGAGGAUAGUGGAAUUCCCAGUGAUAGUGGUGAAAUACGUAGAGAUUGGGAAGAACACCAGUGGCGAAAGGCGGCUAUCUGGACGGUUUCUGACGC
This 226-nucleotide ribosomal RNA is filed under the name uncultured bacterium. Its description in RNAcentral is "partial 16S ribosomal RNA". It matches the Rfam family "Bacterial small subunit ribosomal RNA", at positions 524 to 746 of the family's 1533-position model. The record is from RNAcentral.